AAGUGCGUCGUAGUCCGGAUUGGAGUCUGCAACUCGACUCCAUGAAGUCGGAAUCGCUAGUAAUCGUGGAUCAGAAUGCCACGGUGAAUACGUUCCCGGGCCUUGUACACACCGCCCGUCACACCAUGGGAGUGGGUUGCAAAAGAAGUAGGUAGCUUAACCUUCGGGAGGGCGCUUACCACUUUGUGAUUCAUGACUGGGGUGAAGUCGUAACAAGGUAACCGUAGGGGAACCUGCGGUUGGAUCACCUCCUUACCUUAAAGAAGC
This 267-nucleotide ribosomal RNA is filed under the name Escherichia coli. Its description in RNAcentral is "partial 16S ribosomal RNA". It matches the Rfam family "Bacterial small subunit ribosomal RNA", at positions 1279 to 1533 of the family's 1533-position model. Lineage: Bacteria; Pseudomonadati; Pseudomonadota; Gammaproteobacteria; Enterobacterales; Enterobacteriaceae. RNAcentral also lists the same sequence under 1 other name. The record is from RNAcentral.